AGUUUGAUCCUGGCUCAGGAUGAACGCUAGCGGGAGGCUUAACACAUGCAAGUCGAGGGGCAGCACGUCUUCGGAUGGUGGCGACCGGCGAACGGGUGCGUAACGCGUAUGCAACCUACCCUUAACAGGAGAAUAGCCCAGAGAAAUUUGGAUUAAUACUCCAUAGUAUUACAGAUUCGCAUGUUUCUGUAAUUAAAGUUCCAACGGUUAAGGAUGGGCAUGCGUGACAUUAGCUUGUUGGUGAGGUAACGGCUCACCAAGGCAACGAUGUCUAGGGGUUCUGAGAGGAUGAUCCCCCACACUGGUACUGAGACACGGACCAGACUCCUACGGGAGGCAGCAGUGAGGAAUAUUGGACAAUGGAGGCAACUCUGAUCCAGCCAUCCCGCGUGCAGGAAGACGGCCCUAUGGGUUGUAAACUGCUUUUAUACAGGAAUAAACCCCUCUACGUGUAGAGGGCUGAAGGUACUGUAAGAAUAAGCACCGGCUAACUCCGUG
RNAcentral lists this ribosomal RNA (498 nucleotides) under uncultured bacterium. Its description in RNAcentral is "bacterial SSU rRNA". It matches the Rfam family "Bacterial small subunit ribosomal RNA", at positions 10 to 507 of the family's 1533-position model. The record is from RNAcentral.